This 309-nucleotide long non-coding RNA is filed under the name Neogale vison (American mink). RNAcentral describes it as "Neovison vison (American mink) lncRNA (ENSNVIG00000010574.1)". Lineage: Eukaryota; Metazoa; Chordata; Mammalia; Carnivora; Mustelidae. The record is from RNAcentral.
CUCUUCUCCCACAUCAGACACUGCGGCCAAAGACCAGAGGCGUGCAAUCCAGGAGGACUAGGAGAGCGGGGUAUUUGGUGUCCCGCAUGUGAAUUCUCACCUGCCUUCCAGCAGAAAUGUGACCCCAGGAGGGGCUGUGAUAGGAUGGAAAAAACAGAUUCCUACACACUGAUGGGAAAUGAAAGCAGAGGCAAACGAGAGUUUGAGAAGACUAAAGGUAUAAUCAUCCCCCAGACUCUACUUUGGGCCCUUCCCACUGCUUGGAGCCCUCUCCCUAAAUAUAGGGUGAUCCAAGCUCAAGCUUCAACC